RNAcentral lists this ribosomal RNA (253 nucleotides) under uncultured bacterium. RNAcentral's name for it is "partial 16S ribosomal RNA". It matches the Rfam family "Bacterial small subunit ribosomal RNA", at positions 524 to 776 of the family's 1533-position model. The record is from RNAcentral.
UACGAAGGGGGCUAGCGUUGUUCGGAAUCACUGGGCGUAAAGGGCGCGCAGGCGGCCAUUCAAGUCAGAUGUGAAAGCCCCGGGCUCAACCUGGGAGGUGCAUUUGGGACUGGAUGGCUUGAGAUCGGGAGAGGAGAGUGGAAUUCCCAGUGUAGAGGUGAAAUUCGUAGAUAUCAGGAGGAACACCGGUGGCGAAGGCGGGUCUCUGGGCCGAUACUGACGCUGAGGAGCGAAAGCAUGGGUAGCGAACAGG